RNAcentral lists this long non-coding RNA (5790 nucleotides) under Homo sapiens (human). RNAcentral describes it as "HSALNT0369985". The record is from RNAcentral. Lineage: Eukaryota; Metazoa; Chordata; Mammalia; Primates; Hominidae.
AGUGUGUAAUAAAGUGUUCAUUCAGCAGGCUUGGAGUGUUUAAACCCUAAACAUUCCAGAGGAAGACCUGGCCCUUAACCAGUGCCUGGGAGAGAAGCUCUUAGCAUGUCCUGCUUGAUAAGUGUGGCUUUGUGUACCCCAGGCCUCAGACCCUACCAGACAGUGUAUGCUAACAAUGCUAUUUGUGAAUGCCUGUUUUUGCUGUCCUGAGCUCCAGGCCACUCUGCAUUAAUUUGUCCUCUGAGGAUGUGAGGGAUAGAGACUGAGUAUCUACGGUCAGCUAUAUGGGCUCUCCACACCUACAGAACUGAUCCCCGAUAAAAUCCCUGGACACCAAGGCUUGGGAAUGAACAUCUGACCUAGACCUGGCCAAUCAGAACACUUAACCACUCUAGCCACAAGGAUUGGUUCAGGGAUGAACCAAUCAGAAUUCUUCCAGGGAAUGAGGGGGAAAAAAAACUCUCAUUCUUCACUAGGAUUGCUAAGUGGACUUGAAGAGACUUUGCCCUAGAGAUGACGAGAAGAAGUGGACCCCAGAUGCUGAUGUUUGGGUACAAGGAUGCACACUGAGACCUGAUGGAAGUAAAGCACUGUACUUCUCCAGUCUGCACACCAAAAGAUUAUCUUUUUUUAAACCUAAGACUCUUUAUGUUGGAUUUCUGUCUGUUGAAACCCAAAGAGUAUUGACUAAUAUAACACCGUCCAUAUUUAGAUGGUGAUUAAAGCCAUAGAAGCAGAUAAGAUCACUCAGGGCAAAUGUAUAGAGUGAAAAAAAAAAAAAAAAGUAGAUCUGGCAGAGAGUCCUGAGGAUCCCAGACUUUGCAAAUGCACAAAAAGGAGACUAAAAAUGGUGGGCCAGAGCUAUAGGAGGAGAGCCAGGAGAGAAAGGACAGCAGCUGAGGGAGAGACAGGAUCAAGGAAGGAAUUCUACUAUAAUUGAACAUAUCUAAUGCAGUAGGCUCUGUAUUGGUCAGGACUCUGGCUUACAAUGACAGAAACCUCAUUCAAAUGGACCGAAGGAACUGGAAUGACUCCGUCAUGUUAGAGGCUGGUACAGCAGAAUCCAGGCACCCCACCAUGUCUAUAGAAAUCCCCUCUUGCCAUGCUAAGCUCUGCUUUCAGGCAUUCUCUAAUCAGGUGCUGGCAAAGUGGUUAAAAGCAGCUUCAGUUUGGCACCCUCAGUGGAGGAGGAAUGACUCUUUACCAUGGGUCCUGCAAAGUCCAUGGACUGAGGAUGACUUGACCUAAAAAGUGGGAGGUGAGGUGGGUCCUCCCCUUUUGAGCCACACGGAUGUAGACUGAGAGUGGUCUCAUUCCCACUAGAACAGAAAGUACUGUUACUAGCUGUGAGACUGAAAAACAAAAGGGGGCAGGGAUUUAAAAACACUAUAGCCAUGGGAUUGACAGAACUUUACACCCACUGGCCCAUUAGAGGGCUGACAGAAGAAAAGAAGUCUAAGGUGGCUUUGAACUUUAUAGAUUGGCCAAGUGGAUGAGGGUGAAGCCAUAUACUGAGAAAUUUGCAGAGAAAAGAAAGUAAAGGCUAACAGCUUAAGAAUUCUGAUUCGACGUCCUUUGAGGAUACUUCCAACUUAACAUUUUGUAGUACUAGGGAUAAAUUAUUGGAGCCUCGAAGAACAAAGGGGAGUGGAAUAGCAUUUGAGUAGGUGACCAUUAAAAUUCAAGUGGCACAAAUGAGGUUGAGAUAUUCAAGGCACCACUAGCAUCCAGAGAAAUUUAUUGUAGUUGAAUUUGAAUAUUUACUUUUUUAUUUUUAUUUAUUUAUUUGAGACAGAGUCUCGCCCUGUCACCCAGGCGGGAGUGCAGUGGCACAAUCUCGGUUCACUGUAACCUCUGCCUCCUGGGUUCAACAAUUCCUGUGCCUCAGCCUACCGAGUAGCUGGGACUGCAGAUGCACACCAUCACCCCAAGCUAAUUUUUGUAUUUUUAGUAGAAACGGGGUUUCACCAUGUUGGCCAGGCUGGUCUUGAACUCCUGACCUCAAGUGAUCCUCCUGCUUCAGCCUCCCAAAGUGCUGGGACUACAGGCAUGAGCCACCACACCCAGCCGAAUUUGAAUAUUUAUGAUAUAUAUCUUCCAUUUAAGUGGUCACUGAACCUAAGAAUCGUGAUUCAAAACUGAAAGGAACCACAGGUCAUUAGUAUAGAACUGAUUUUUUAAAAUUAUUUUUAUUUUUAUGUUUUUCUUUUUUUUUCUUGAGUUGGGAUCUCUCUAGGUUGCCCACCCGGUCUUGAACUCCUGGGCUCAUGUGAUCCUCCCAUCUCAGCCUCUUGAGUAGCUGAGAUUACAGGUGCAUGCCACCAUGCCCAGCUCCAUUAGUAUAAGAUCGUGUGAAAAGAACAUGAGAGCUGUAUCUUGUUCAUUAAAUAAGGGGAGCCAGGGCCUUCACACGUCCCUGAGAAACUGGGCCAUGAGUGUCCAAGGCUAACAUAACUGGGAGACCUGCUCUUAGGCAACAUUUAAUCAAAUAUGGUGUUCACAUGCACAGGAGGGAGAGAAGUAAAAGCAGCAUUCUGCUUUGCUUUACUUUCAUCUUAUUCUAAAAAUGAUUUAAUAUAAGAAUACACCAAUAUGAAUGGAAAAGAGCUUGGUGGAAGGCCUAAUAUCAAGUGUAUUAAAAAUGUAUGACACACUGUAUAUUCUCAUAGGCACCCUAUUCGGGACCUCUACAGCUGAUAAAAUGACAUAAAAAUGUGAUUAAUAAUAUUGUAAAACCUGUUGAUUGGAAAAACUCAGGGACAUAUGACAGAUUGACCCGACUCUGAUUUAAGCCAAUAUCACUCAAAUAACCUUUCAGAUCCUGAGAAAGAAUAAUGUCUUGCUUGCAGGACAGAAUGCAACAUAAGAAAAUGCAGUUGUCUUCCGAGGUUUGCUUUCAUACAUUAAAUGCCCUCAGAACAUUUUAUAUCUGAAUCUUUAUGUCUAGAUUCCAAGCAUCUAGCCUGGAGCUGCUACUAUUUCAUUAAUCCUUCUAAAUCUGUCUUAUAAUUUUUGAUGCAAAAUAAAACAAUAGAAGAAAGGAAAUAAGCCAAGAUGCUAAUAGUGAAAAUUUUUAGGUGAUGAGUUUUAGUGAUUUUCAUUCAUUUUUCUUAAUGUUAUGGCAUUUUCCAAGUUUUCUAUAAAGAUAUGUGAUUUGGGAUAAAAGAAAAGCAAAGUCUACACAAAAAAAUUAAGAAGUUAAUUUUAAAAAGCAUCUUAAAAAUAAAAAUGUAAGUGUUUCUAUUAGCUCUAGAUUAAAAGGCCACUAAGAUUUAAGUGAAUCUAAUAAGCAACCAAUGCACCAGAAUGACUUGCAUAACCACCAUUGUCACUGUACAUUCCCAAGGCAUGUCAAGCUUCUAUUCUUUAUUUUGGUUCUUAUGCAUCUUAAAGGGGACUGUUCAUCUGCACAUCUCAACUACCCACCCUCUUUUGAUUAGAUGACUCUACCUUUAGAGUGAGCACCUUUUCUUUUUGCCUCCAAGUGUCUUUUCUUCUGUUACCCAUAUCCCAAAAUCCCUUUAAGAACCUGCCCUACAUCCCUUUAAGAACCAGAAAAUGAGCUUAUAAUAGAGUAAUUGUAAACACUAGGCUCUAAGAGUAGGCAUGUGACUCACUCCUGGCCAGUCAGAAGAUCAUAUUCCUUGGCUACAGGAAUUGGUUCAGGAAUAGGCAGGUGAUUAGUCUUAAUUAGCGAGAUACAGUAAGAUGAAAUAAAAAGCUCAUGCUCUUUUCUGCUGGACUUUAACCUGGGUAAGCGCAUGUCAAGAGCUUUUUGUUGUUGUUUUGCUGGCAUAUAAAACUGAAGAAUGAAACUGGCCUGGAGAAAGACUGUGCCCUCUUUAUGUUGUUUGAGCCCCUGGGUCAAGCCCGUCCUGAAGCUUUUCCUACUGUUGUAGGAGCCAAUAAAUUAUUUUUGUGCCUAUGUCAGUAUAAGUUUUUACCCCUUACAAUUGAAAUAGUUUCAACUGAUAGAACCUUUUCUCUAUUUAAUACCCUACUCAGGGUCAUUGUUACCAGAGGAUUUAUUUAAUUGUACUUGUGUCAGAGGCAUUUGAACAAGAGCAACUCCGUCUUGAAUAGGGGUUGGGAAAAUGAGGCUGAGACCUACUGGGCUACAUUCCCAGGAGGUUAGGUAUUCUUAGUCACAGGAUGAGACAGGAGGUUGGCACAAGAUCAUAAAGACCUUGCUGAUAAAAACAAGUUGCAGUAGUGAAGCUGGCCAAAUCCCACCAAAACCAAGAUGGCCACAAGAGUGACCUUUGGUCAUCCUCACUGCUCAUUAGCAUGCUAAAAGACACUCCCAUCAACACCAUGACAUUUUACAGAUGCCAUGGCAAUGUCCAGAAGUUACCCUACAUGGUCUAAAGAGAGGGGGAACUCUCAGCUCUGGGAAUUGCCCAUCCCUUUCCCAGAAAACUCGUGAAUAAUUCACCCCUUGUUUAGCAUAUAACCAAGAAAUAACUAUAAGUAUCCUUAGGAGGCCAGCAGCUCAAGCCACAGGUCUGCCUAUGGAGUAGCGAUUCUUCAUUCCUUUACUUCCUUAGCAAACUUGCUUUCACUUUAUAGACUCACCUCAAAUUCUUUCUUGUGCGAGAUCCAAGAACCCUCUCUUGAGGUCUGGAUUGGGACCCCUUUCCGGUAACACUUGGAAAAGAUCAACAGAGUUGUAUGGGCAGACUCUUGGAACUACUCCUUUUAAUUCAUAAUCUUUAGAGAUUUAUGUAACACUUUGCCUUUUAGAGCUUGAGGACCAAAUUUUGCACAAUGGACACAUAAGCACAACUAUUAAUGCUUAUAUUACAAAUAAAUUAAUUGUAAAGUUAACUAACAUAUACAAACAUUAAUACACACUAACACAUUUUUCAAAAUGCUUUGGAAAGUCCUAAGCAAUGUCUUAACAACAGUUCUUAAGUUUUGAGCAAUAUACUAAAACCUCAAACAAAGAUUCUCAAUCUUAAGUUCUCCUUCUACAGCAAUUGAAGGUUGAGGAAUUUUUGUAUGAAGAUACAAAAAUUUUAUCUAGUUUAAGCUCAGUUACUCCUUACUUAAGAGCACCCAGAUAUAAACAAGGACUACAGGAGAACUUCUAUCAUGGUUCACAGGAAAUGACAAUAAACCCACACACUAAUUCUGAGGUGACUCUGUGGUAGACAGAGAAGGUUUGAGGAAGAAGAGAAUGUAUGAGUUUUUUUUCUCCUUCCUCCAGAGGAGAGGGAUUCAGUGACACAUGGGAGAAAACUUGAAGGUGAAUGAAGUCAGAAAACAGCAAUGAAUGACCUUCUCCAUCAUUGCCAGAGAUGAUUAUUUCGGGCAGUGGGCAGUGGCCUGCCCUACAGUGCCAAUGUGCUUUACUUCCAUCUGUUAUAAAAUUGUCCUAAUAUAAUAAUUUUAUUUGAACAGGGUACUUUUUGUAACUUUCAGACAAAGGCAUGGAUAAAUAUACCAAUGGACUGUGUCUGCAAUAUGAACAUACCUCUUAGAUGUGAUACUCUUAUUCAGUGCACAUUCUACAUAACUCUACGUAGCAACCCUGUAGGCAAAGAUUAUGGUAAAAAUACCCACAUAGUGGACACCAGUCCACUUUGAAACAGUUCAAAUCUUUUCUGACCCAUCUCUCAUAUUUCUGCCACAGAGAAAUGCUUUCACCAAUAUUGGACAUGUUAGAUGUGCUCAUCCUCUCUUCCUCUGAUAACAAGUCACAAAAAUGACAAUGCCAGCUGGAGAAAGGAACCAACCAUAUUUUAAUACCUGUCAUAUGCUGGUAAAUAUACAUAUAUUCCCUCGGUU